GGGAAUGUGUGUGAACGUGGUAGAAGAGGCAGCCCACAACUUUAAGUCUGCGGUUGGGAGUAAACUUUCUAUUCAAGACACCCAGAAAGUAUGGCAUGCUGUUGGAACGUGGAUUGAACAAAACUUAAGUAAACACAAGGCGGUGUCCGUUCCCGGCCUUGGUACCUUUACCUUGUCAGAAUGGGCCCUGGACACCGGCCUAGGCAAACCCCUCAUCCUCAGCAGACCUGUGUUCUUCCUAUCAGAACAUC
This is a long non-coding RNA of Macrosteles quadrilineatus (aster leafhopper), 251 nucleotides long. RefSeq lists it as uncharacterized. The transcript is spliced from 3 exons. The record is from RefSeq and is a predicted model, not a curated record. Lineage: Eukaryota; Metazoa; Arthropoda; Insecta; Hemiptera; Cicadellidae.